Long non-coding RNA from Parus major (Great Tit), 1395 nucleotides. RefSeq lists it as uncharacterized. NCBI's taxonomy places the organism in Eukaryota, Metazoa, Chordata, Aves, Passeriformes, Paridae. The record is from RefSeq and is a predicted model, not a curated record. The transcript is spliced from 2 exons.
GCGACGCUGAGGCGGGCGCGCGCCUGAGGUGACGAGCGUGUCGCUGAGGGGAGGAGCGCGCCUGAGGAGGAGAGCGCUGAAGGAGCACGGCUUCCCUAGAGCAGAGCCGGGGUUUCCUUGCUGUUUAGCACAUCCUGAGGGGACUAGAUUUAAGGUAAGGACUUAGCUGUUAUGUAUGGAUAACAAUUAAGUAAGGCUCAUAGCAGUCAUCUGACUGUGUCAUGGAGAUUUUCGUGCCACCCAGGGCAAGGGGUUACUUGAUUUACCCAUUCUUUUCUAGGAGUCAGGGUUUCUUUUCUAGGAGUCAACGUUUCGUACCAUAAGGGUUUCAUACUUUGAGGGUUGUAAUAGUUCCUCUGCCUGCUCACACAGGUGUUGGGAUAAAAACCUUCCUUUCUUUUCUGGGUGGGUUGCUGCCAGGACCUGGUAGCCAAAAUCUGUGGGAAAGCCUGAGGAGAGAAACUUAAAACUUUGGGGGUUUUGUGUUUGUUUUGGAAGGUAUUACAACUUUUCUCGUCACCAAGACUGAGCAACAUGCAAAACUAAAUUUCUGCCCAAAUGUUUAAGAAAGAAAACACUAUUUUUUUGCCCAAUUAGAUCUAUUUGAGCAAGAAAACACAGUUUUUUGAAGAGAUAAGUGACUUACCGCAGUCACCUAAGAGGUGUGUGGCACAAGCAACUGUACCUGUGGGACAGGAGAUGGAUUGAAAGAGAAAUGAAGAAAACCAUACAAAUGUUCCCACCUGCAGUUAAAUCCUAUUCCCUUAGCUUGGGAGGCCCAUUCAGGGAUUGCAUGGAAUUAGAAGAGUCAAAAGCAGCGAAACCCUUUGCAGCUUUAUGUUGUUGUAGAGGCUAUUGGAAAUAUAAUAUAGAAUGCACAAGGAGGCAAUAGAGAGGUGAAAGAGUCCCAAGAUUUGACAUGUAGACUCAUCAUAGUGAGAUUUUCAGGAAUAUGUGAUACUAAAUAUAUAUUCUCACCACUGUUUACCUUUUUCAUAUACCUUGGAAGUAUUGUGAUUUCCACACUUCCAGGAAACUAUCAGUGUAUCUGAGAAAGAAAGAUUCAGUUCUGUGCAAGAAUGUUGCUUUACUCACCAGUUUAUGCUCCAGAAAAGCCUGGACAAUGCAAGAUUGUUACCAAUACAAGAAACAUUUUCUAAAUACAUGCGCAAUCAAGUUCAGCCCUUUUGUAGUUUGCUCCCCUGAAGCUGUUCCUGUGCCUUUCACUACACAGCAUAUCUCACCAUGAGCAGUUCAUCCAAUGUUUCAUAGCAAUUUGUAUCCCUUGUGUUAUCUAUUAAUUUAAUUUUGACCAAAACAAUUCUCCUCUUGAGCUGUUUUCGCUCAGUAUGCAUUGCACUAGAAAUUACCUUAUUUAAUUGUGAAGUAGCUCUG